GGUCUGCUGCACGGUGCGUCAGGCAGCUAAUGUCCCUGGGGCGAUAUUUCUCCUAUUGGGAGCUGUCUCUGGUGGGGCUCUGGCCCCAUUACAUGGCGCCCACCUGACAAGUCAGGCCACGGAGGACUUACAACGCCAACGGCCGAGGCGGCGCCGC
This 157-nucleotide non-coding RNA is filed under the name Magnetospirillum sulfuroxidans. RNAcentral describes it as "Magnetospirillum sp. J10 6S RNA". It matches the Rfam family "6S / SsrS RNA". Rfam says of the family: E. coli 6S RNA was the first non coding RNA to be sequenced, but its function was unknown until recently. It consists of 184 nucleotides that fold into an extended hairpin structure with a large single-stranded internal bulge. The record is from RNAcentral. Lineage: Bacteria; Pseudomonadati; Pseudomonadota; Alphaproteobacteria; Rhodospirillales; Rhodospirillaceae.